UAUCAUAUUAAUGUAUUAAGACAUUAAGUGAGGAAGUAAAGUUGCAUUCACAGGCCUUGAACUUUUCCACAUCUCGAUUUUUACCCAUCAUCUCUGCAUAGUUCCCUAAGGCAGCCUUCAAAUGGUGAUGUUUCUUAUAAUCCAGAGUUCAGAAGUGGCUUCUCUUCAAUCUUUCUGUGGAAUUCUAAACCACGUGAUAAAGGAGCUGGUGCUGUCCUGGGUGGCAUGAGAACCAUGGGCUGAGGAUUGGACAAGCUUGCUCUACAAUAUUCACAGAGCCAGAUUUCCUUCUGCACCAGAGCCUGUGGAAGCGCCACAGUGGAAGCAGCAGAGACUGGAAGAGCAGGCCACAGAUCAGCCCUGGGGUUCAGAGGGAUCCUGACAGCUACUCCUCAAGAUCCUCUCUGUUGUGAUUCAUCCCCCCGGGGCCCUACAGUUUCUCCUUCCUGACUCUUACAUUUCUUUGGAUGGCAUCAUUAUUUACCUGUCUCCUCCCAUAGUUAGGUGCCAAGCACUGUGGAUUCUGCCUCUCAGUGUCCAGACA
RNAcentral lists this long non-coding RNA (544 nucleotides) under Homo sapiens (human). RNAcentral's name for it is "MYO3B antisense RNA 1". The record is from RNAcentral. Lineage: Eukaryota; Metazoa; Chordata; Mammalia; Primates; Hominidae.